UUGUUUUCUGUAAAUAAUUUUCUGGGUGUCAGAGGCAUCAUCCUUAAGAACAUGAAAGCCUUGUGGUUCUUCCUCAUUCUGGUGGCAGCUCCCAGAUGUGUCCUGUCCCAGGUGCAGCUGAAGGAAUCGGGACCUGGCCUGGUGAAGCCCUCACAGACCCUGUCUCUCACCUGCUCUGUCUCUGGAUUCUCUUUAUCCAGCUAUGAUAUGGACUGGAUCCGCCAGGCUCCAGGAAAGGGGCUGGAGUGGGUUGCUGAGAUAACUGGUAGUGGAAGCACAUACUAUAACCCAACUCUUAAGUCCCGAGUCACCAUCACCAAGGACAACUCCAAAAAUGAAGUCUAUUUAAAGCUGAGCGGCCUGAAAUCUGAGGACACAGCCACGUAUUACUGUGCAAGAGACACAGUGAGAGGAAGUCAGGGUUAG
Non-coding RNA from Choloepus didactylus (southern two-toed sloth), 426 nucleotides. NCBI's taxonomy places the organism in Eukaryota, Metazoa, Chordata, Mammalia, Pilosa, Megalonychidae. The record is from the annotation of a RefSeq genome assembly.